UACGUAGGGGGCAAGCGUUGUCCGGAAUCAUUGGGCGUAAAGAGCGUGUAGGCGGCCCGGUAAGUCCGCUGUGAAAGUCCAGGGCUCAACCCUGGGAUGCCGGUGGAUACUGUCGGGCUCGAGUCCGGAAGAGGAGUGUGGAAUUCCUGGUGUAGCGGUGAAAUGCGCAGAUAUCAGGAAGAACACCAAUGGCGAAAGCAGCUCUCUGGGACGGUACUGACGCUGAGACGCGAAAGCGUGGGGAGCGAACAGG
This 253-nucleotide ribosomal RNA is filed under the name uncultured bacterium. RNAcentral describes it as "partial 16S ribosomal RNA". It matches the Rfam family "Bacterial small subunit ribosomal RNA", at positions 524 to 776 of the family's 1533-position model. The record is from RNAcentral.